GAAUCUUGCGCAAUGGGCGAAAGCCUGACGCAGCAACGCCGCGUGAGUGAUGAAGGUUCUUGGAUCGUAAAGCUCUUUCGGCUGGGAAGAAACGCCCUGUGGCUAAUAUCCACGGGGUUUGACGGUACCAGCAGAAGAAGCACCGGCUAACUCUGUGCCAGCAGCCGCGGUAAUACAGAGGGUGCAAGCGUUGUUCGGAAUUAUUGGGCGUAAAGCGAGUGUAGGCGGGAUGGCAAGUCGGGUGUGAAAGCCCUCAGCUCAACUGAGGAAGUGCGCUCGAAACUACUGUUCUUGAGUGUCGGAGAGGGUGACGGAAUUCCCGGUGUAGAGGUGAAAUUCGUAGAUAUCGGGAGGAACACCAGUGGCGAAGGCGGUCACCUGGACGAACACUGACGCUGAGACUCGAAAGCGUGGGUAGCAAACAG
RNAcentral lists this ribosomal RNA (425 nucleotides) under uncultured bacterium. Its description in RNAcentral is "bacterial SSU rRNA". It matches the Rfam family "Bacterial small subunit ribosomal RNA", at positions 359 to 775 of the family's 1533-position model. The record is from RNAcentral.